This is a long non-coding RNA of Jaculus jaculus (lesser Egyptian jerboa), 277 nucleotides long. RefSeq lists it as uncharacterized. The record is from RefSeq and is a predicted model, not a curated record. NCBI's taxonomy places the organism in Eukaryota, Metazoa, Chordata, Mammalia, Rodentia, Dipodidae. The transcript has 4 exons.
CUCAGGGAGAUCAGGAUGGAGGAUUUUGACCCGCAUCUGCCUGGAGCUUGCCUCCAGCUUUACUCCUCAACACCUUAGCUUGGAAGAACACCCCGACAAUGGGAGACUUCACUUCAGAGCAUGGCCUCUUCUUGCAGUGCUCACCCACCAGAAUGGUGAUCCCACCAAAUAACAGCUGCUCGCCGAAUACGGCUGCUCCUGGUUCCAUAUUCGCAAAGAUAGCGACAGACAGAGAAAGAAAGAGCCAUAUAUAUAGAGAGAAUGGACACACCAGGCC